Molecule: small nucleolar RNA, 138 nt
Organism: Tachyglossus aculeatus (Australian echidna)
Lineage: Eukaryota; Metazoa; Chordata; Mammalia; Monotremata; Tachyglossidae
Source: RefSeq, a predicted model, not a curated record
UCCCUCUCAGUAUCACACCUGGAGAGUUUCCAGUACUCUACCCGUCUUGGUUAUGGGAAGAAGAGUCAAGCAGAGGCAUACCCAUUCCAACCCUAGCUUGGCCAGUGGCUAGUGAGUAGAAGGCAAUCUGCUACAGGU